This 253-nucleotide ribosomal RNA is filed under the name uncultured bacterium. Its description in RNAcentral is "partial 16S ribosomal RNA". It matches the Rfam family "Bacterial small subunit ribosomal RNA", at positions 524 to 776 of the family's 1533-position model. The record is from RNAcentral.
UACGAAGGGGGCUAGCGUUGUUCGGAUUUACUGGGCGUAAAGCGCACGUAGGCGGAUCGUUAAGUCAGGGGUGAAAUCCUGGAGCUCAACUCCAGAACUGCCUUUGAUACUGGCAACCUUGAGUCCGGGAGAGGUGAGUGGAACUGCGAGUGUAGAGGUGAAAUUCGUAGAUAUUAGGAAGAACACCAGUGGCGAAGGCGGCUCACUGGUCCGGUACUGACGCUGAGGUGCGAAAGCGUGGGGAGCAAACAGG